CCCUUAGACGUUCUGGGCCGCACGCGCGCUACACUGACGAAGGCAACGAGCUUUCCUUUACCGAAAGGUACGGGUAAUCUUUUGAAACUUCGUCGUGCUGGGGAUAGAUCCUUGCAAUUAUUGAUCUUAAACGAGGAAUUCCUAGUAAGCGCAAGUCAUCAACUUGCGUUGAUUACGUCCCUGCCCUUUGUACACACCGCCCGUCGCUACUACCGAUUGAAUGGUUUAGUGAGGCCUUCGGAUCCGCAACUCGUUUUGUGGAGAAGUUGGACAAACUCAGUCAUUUAGAGGAAGUAAAANUCGUANCA
RNAcentral lists this ribosomal RNA (308 nucleotides) under uncultured eukaryote. Its description in RNAcentral is "partial 18S ribosomal RNA". It matches the Rfam family "Eukaryotic small subunit ribosomal RNA", at positions 1470 to 1796 of the family's 1831-position model. The record is from RNAcentral.